This 253-nucleotide ribosomal RNA is filed under the name uncultured bacterium. RNAcentral describes it as "partial 16S ribosomal RNA". It matches the Rfam family "Bacterial small subunit ribosomal RNA", at positions 524 to 776 of the family's 1533-position model. The record is from RNAcentral.
UACGUAGGGGGCGAGCGUUAUCCGGAUUCACUGGGUGUAAAGGGAGCGUAGACGGCCAUGCAAGCCAGGGGUGAAAGCCCGGGGCCCAACCGCGGGACUGCAUUGGGAACUACCGGGCUGGAGUGCCGGAGAGGUAGGCGGAAUUCCUAGUGUAGCGGUGAAAUGCGUAGAUAUUAGGAGGAACACCAGUGGCGAAGGCGGCCUACUGGACGGUGACUGACGCUGAGGCUCGAAAGCGUGGGGAGCAAACAGG